RNAcentral lists this ribosomal RNA (466 nucleotides) under uncultured bacterium. RNAcentral's name for it is "bacterial SSU rRNA". It matches the Rfam family "Bacterial small subunit ribosomal RNA", at positions 330 to 794 of the family's 1533-position model. The record is from RNAcentral.
GCCAGACUCCUACGGGAGGCAGCAGUGAGGAAUAUUGGUCAAUGGUCGGGAGACUGAACCAGCCAAGCCGCGUGAGGGAUGAAGGUACAGAGUAUCGUAAACCUCUUUUGUCAGGGAACAAAGGCGGGGACGCGUCCCCGGAUGAGUGUACCUGAAGAAAAAGCAUCGGCUAACUCCGUGCCAGCAGCCGCGGUAAUACGGAGGAUGCGAGCGUUAUCCGGAUUUAUUGGGUUUAAAGGGUGCGUAGGCGGACGCUUAAGUCAGCGGUAAAAUUGCGGGGCUCAACCUCGUCGAGCCGUUGAAACUGGGUGCCUUGAGUGGGCGAGAAGUACGCGGAAUGCGUGGUGUAGCGGUGAAAUGCAUAGAUAUCACGCAGAACUCCGAUUGCGAAGGCAGCUUACUAAACUAUAACUGACACUGAAGCACGAAAGCGUGGGGAUCAAACAGGAUUAGAUACCCGUGUAGC